RNAcentral lists this long non-coding RNA (219 nucleotides) under Carica papaya (papaya). RNAcentral's name for it is "long non-coding RNA (CPAP_LNC012476)". Lineage: Eukaryota; Viridiplantae; Streptophyta; Magnoliopsida; Brassicales; Caricaceae. The record is from RNAcentral.
GAAUGAGAGGUUUGGCUUAAUUCUGAUUUCACGGGCACUCUCUCGCGUAGUGCUGGACACUUGCACAUAUGUGGCAAGUAUUGUUGAGGCGGUAGCAGGAUCGGACUCCACGGUCCUUGGUACAGUGCUAUCAAGUCCUACCGCGCUUAUUGCCAGAGUCUGAGUAGGAGCUUGAGUCACAGGCCUAGGUCUUUUAUUCUGUUGAGUCGGUGCAGUAGG